RNAcentral lists this ribosomal RNA (582 nucleotides) under uncultured bacterium. RNAcentral describes it as "bacterial SSU rRNA". It matches the Rfam family "Bacterial small subunit ribosomal RNA", at positions 102 to 680 of the family's 1533-position model. The record is from RNAcentral.
ACGGGUGAGUAAUGUCUGGGAAACUGCCUGAUGGAGGGGGAUAACUACUGGAAACGGUAGCUAAUACCGCAUAACGUCGCAAGACCAAAGAGGGGGACCUUCGGGCCUCUUGCCAUCAGAUGUGCCCAGAUGGGAUUAGCUAGUAGGUGGGGUAACGGCUCACCUAGGCGACGAUCCCUAGCUGGUCUGAGAGGAUGACCAGCCACACUGGAACUGAGACACGGUCCAGACUCCUACGGGAGGCAGCAGUGGGGAAUAUUGCACAAUGGGCGCAAGCCUGAUGCAGCCAUGCCGCGUGUAUGAAGAAGGCCUUCGGGUUGUAAAGUACUUUCAGCGGGGAGGAAGGUGUUGUGGUUAAUAACCACAGCAAUUGACGUUACCCGCAGAAGAAGCACCGGCUAACUCCGUGCCAGCAGCCGCGGUAAUACGGAGGGUGCAAGCGUUAAUCGGAAUUACUGGGCGUAAAGCGCACGCAGGCGGUCUGUCAAGUCGGAUGUGAAAUCCCCGGGCUCAACCUGGGAACUGCAUUCGAAACUGGCAGGCUAGAGUCUUGUAGAGGGGGGUAGAAUUCCAGGUGUAGCG